UAUAGCGGUGAGGCUCCACCUGUUCCCUUUCCGAACACAGAAGUUAAGCUCACCUGCGCCGACAAUACUUGCUUGGCGACGAGUUGGGAAGAUAGG
Molecule: ribosomal RNA, 96 nt
Filed under: Clostridia bacterium
Lineage: Bacteria; Bacillati; Bacillota; Clostridia
Source: RNAcentral